Molecule: ribosomal RNA, 253 nt
Filed under: uncultured bacterium
Lineage: Bacteria
Description: partial 16S ribosomal RNA
Rfam family: Bacterial small subunit ribosomal RNA
Source: RNAcentral
UACGGAGGGUGCAAGCGUUGUCCGGAAUUAUUGGGCGUAAAGAGCUCGUAGGUGGUUUGUUACGUCUGCUGUGAAAACCUAGGGCUUAACCCUGGGCUUGCAGUGGAUACGGGCAGACUAGAGGUAGGUAGGGGAGAAUGGAAUUCCUGGUGUAGCGGUGAAAUGCGCAGAUAUCAGGAGGAACACCGGUGGCGAAGGCGGUUCUCUGGGCCUUACCUGACACUGAGGAGCGAAAGCGUGGGGAGCGAACAGG